CGCCGGGACAGAUCGGGGCGCGCGGCGGGACGCUGGAAGGCUGGGGAAGCACUACGCCUGGGCUCUCAGAAACGCGGAUAUUGUCUUUCCCCUCCUGGAAAUAGGAGUAAUUGCAAUGUUCUGUCCCGGUUUUCCCGUGCCACCCGCCCCGCGAUCGUCCUGACAACUCUCUAGCUAACAAGGUAAUGAGCAAGCCAGCCUCCUUUGCUUUAAACAGGUCACGCCUCCCAGUUAGGGUUUGUGGCUGUCAAAGAUAAGAAUAGAAGCCUUGGGACUGGCUGGGAGUGGGCUCCUCUUCCUACAAAUGUAGUCCGGGGAAGCAUUCCGGAGCCAGUGACCAGCUUGACACCAUUUGACUGAUGACCCCCUUGGAGAAAAUUUGUCACUUCAGAGAUGAAAAGAAUUUCUGAUGCGUGGUGCCGUUGUUUACCUAAUUUAUUUUCUGGCGAUCCUGUCUCCCCUUGCACUGCCUCAUUUCCUUUAAGGUUGUAUUAGGCCUUGAGCAGUUUUCCAUCUGUCCUCUUCUACAUCUCCACUUGUAAUAUGUAUGCCUUUGGCCGACAGCACAACGCAUGGAAACCAUUUAACUCUAUCAGAAACAUUUAACCCAUUCUACUAUAUGGACCAUUUCGAAGUUUAUAACGUCAUACAGCAGAGUUCACUCCAAGGUCUUCAUGGUCUAGUAUACUACUUUAUUGGGAAAGAGCCAGCGAAUGAAAGUCAACCUGCACUUCUUUCAAGUAUUGCUCUUUAUGGUGACGGUUAUGCCGUGAAAGCUGCCUAUGGGUACCUGGGAGAAGAGCAGUAAUUCAUGCAGAGCAGGGCUGGAACAGAAAUUGGUUCAAGACGUGAAUGGGAAAAAAACGUGAGAUUGACUCAACUGCAGUUCUGGGUCCAGAGAGCAUCACAACUGUAAUCUUAAUGUGGAAACACAUGAAUGGGGAUAAUAAGCCAGAUAAUAAUGCACAAUAGACAAGAAAAAAAAAAGUUUUCAUAAGCAUAGUAGUGGUGACUAUUGCUUAGUAAAUUGUCUGACUGGGGAGAGAGAGAGAGAGAGAGAGAGAGAGAGAGAGAGAGAGAGAGAGAGAGAGAGAGAGAGAGAAGAGAGGUAGGUGAGGAGGGAGGGAGAGGGAUUAGCAGGACAACAGGGUCUAUUCAUGAAGAAAGCUAGAGGGAAACUAAACACUGCAUGAGCUGUCUUUGCUGCCCAAGGCAUCAACACCCAGGAUUCACCUUGUAAGGCAGGCUGGGGAGCAAGCCUCCCCUUCCACCUGGGCUCCCACCUGCCAUCCUUGCACAGGAUUCUCAGCAUACCAGAGGAAGAGGCUGGAAAGCAGAAGAUUCUGUGGAUGCCUCUAACCCAGCAGAAACAUUGAUCUUGAGUUUGCAGGAGAGGGUCCCAGGUUAGGGAGCUGAAAUGCUUCAGGUGGGAAAGCUGAAAACACUAAUACCCUUUGAUUGUAUGACUCUGAAUUUUUUUAGGUACUGUUUAUUAUGAUAUCUGAAAAAUUCUUAUAAGCAGAUUCACCAUUAGAAACUGUUUUAUGUUAUUUCCUUAUAUUUGUUUCUGAUUUCUAAUUCUUCUGAUGAGGUAUUCCAGAAACCAACUUCAGGAUUCCUUGCCUCCUCCUGAUGUAAUUACCAUGUUUGAAUAAUCUGUUUUGUCUGAUUGCGGUAUUUUUAAAAUUUACCAAAUUAAUGAGUUAAUUUGUUAGUGUUAUCUGUGAGUCGUAUCCAAUGAAGUGGACUUUAAGUUUUUCUGCUCUAUAUUGUCCUAGCACCUAUGUGAUAAUAUGCAUUUCAUUUAAACAAAUAUGUCAUAAAGAACCAGCUAAAUCAUUCCUAAGAACAAUAUCUUGAUAAAGUUUGAGACUAACACUAAACAUAAGUAUAGAUAUAAUUACAGCAAUAGCAAAAGUAAAGCUGCCAGGAGAACAUAUUUGUUCUACUUAAAUAUAUAAUAGGCAAACAACACCAGUAAAAUAGUCGAAGCCACAUUAAACCAGUGCUAUGGGAAGCUGGAAACUGGUUUUUACCAUCUGUCAGCUUCUAUACUGGCAGCCUCACAAAUGAGAUUUCUUUUGAACAAAACAUCACAGCAGGAGCUACAGACAUGUGAAUUGUAAUUAAAAUGUGAAAAUGCAUUUCCCAGUUUUUGUCAUUUAUGGAAAAUAUAUUGUGAGAUCUAGAUUUAUAGAAUUAUAUCAAAUUUAAGCCAUUUUAAUUUUCCAAAUCUACUUCAUCAGAAUUUUGGUGUUAAUAAUGAAUAUGUUUGCCUUUACAAACAAAGUGUGCUUCCCUUAGGUCUGUUUCACUCUCUAAUGAGGGUCAAUUAUUUUCUAAUCAUUCAAGUAUAGAAGAUGAAGAAAAGUAAUUUUCAUAUUCUAUAUAGUCAACGUAGAUCUGCUGAGGACAAAUGUCAUUUCUUUACAUUUACCUAACAGUAUUUUAUAUAAAUAAAAAUAAUAAUUACCUGAAAAUCAUAAAACCAAAUCAGGUCUUUAACCCUAUAACAAAAAUUUUGCCUCCUUUUUAUAUCUGAGAGAAUAAGAAUAUUCUAGUUCAUUAGUUUUUCUGUAUCCAGCAAAACAAGUGCACAACACAUUAUGUGUAACUGUGCUACACACAUUGGAUAAGUGUUCAAGGACAGCAAUAAAGGAUGUGUUCCAAAUUUUUGAUAUAUUAACCAAUGUUGAAAUAGCAUGUUUAUAUUAAAAAAUAUUUAAUCUCCAUUUUUAAUAUAUGACUUUCUAUAAAUUCAGGUUAACUUUAAAGUUAGUCAAUAUUCUUGGCAUUUGUUAUUAUGGAAUUUAUUACAACAUUUGCAUUUUAUAUACAAACAGAUUGGUGCUUCUAACCUACUGAGUGCAACAGUGCUUUUUUUUUUUUCUAGUACAUGGCUUCCAAGUUUCCUCCAAACACUAACAUUAUUAAAACAAGAUUGGGGCUGGAGGGAUGGUUCAGCUGUUAAGAGUGCAUACUGCUCUCACAGAGGACCAGAACUGGUUGACCAGCACCCAUGUCAGGCAGCUCAAAACGGCCAAUAUGUACCCCAGUUCCAGAGGACCCAAUGCCUUCUUCCAGCCUCUGUGUGUACUUGCACUCUUGGGCACACACCCACACACAGAUCCACAGACAUUUACAUGAUUACAAGAAUAAAAAUAAAAUCAUAACUACAUUGGGAAAGGAGUUUGCCACUAAAUCUCAUUUCAGAUACAGCUGUCACCCAUUCCUCAUAUCACAUACCUCUUACACUGUGGUGUGAAAACUAGAAGUGCUAAGGUUUAGGUCUCCUCCACUUGAACUUGACUUUUGUAGAGACUCAGCCAAAGAAAGCUGGUGGAAAUCCUGUGCGAUCUCCUAGCUUCAUACUUUACUAUCCACUUUGUCACUGUGCUCUUAGGAUGUAACUACCUACUAUGACAAAGUAAGUGAAGACCUGACAUCCCAGUAUUCAGCACCAUCUGACAGGUGCCACGUGUGCCAAUUUUGCCAGCUGUCUAUGAGACAGAGCCUCAGUGUCCUCAUCUGUACCCUCCAGUCAGCCACAUGAAGUAGAAAUGAGCUGUGCCAGGUGCUGCUGCUGUGUAAGCAUCUAUCACAAAUAUACAUAGUACUCUAAAGUGAUAGUAGCGGAUAGGACCACAGUUCUGUAGUUGGAAAUCUAGUAAGACCUGGCCAUAUCUCUAUUCAGCCUGAAAGCCGAGUAUUGUACAGACAGCCUCUCGUACCGAGCCUCUGAAGUACAGGGCCACAUCCAAGCUCAUUCUCCCUGGCAGAAUCCUGCUUCUUGUGGUCCAGACAUUGAGACCUUUGUUUCCCAAAUAUGUGGCUCUUCCACUAGCAAGAGAAGCUUCAAAUCUCCACAAUAUACAUCUUUAACUUCCUCUUAUUCCACCAACAAGAGAAAACUCUGCUUUUCAAGGAGUCCUGUGAUUAUGUUAUCAGGUUGAGAAAAAUCUUCUUAUCUUAGGUUGACUGCAAGUAUAAUAUUACUAAUCACCUGAGUAAAAUCAUUAUAUGCACAAGCUCUAUCUACAUUUAAAGUGGGGGUGAAUAUGCAAAAACGAGGGCUAUUAGAGGUUAUCACAUAGUUCUGCCUAUCUCCUUCACCACUGCUUUUAUACUGCACUAGACUUUAAACCAAAGGUGAGCUCAUGAAAGACUUGCUCAUCAUUAUAUUCCAGAAGCACUGUAUUAGGACUGAGGAGUGGUCUUGUCAUUGUAGAUUCACUCUUAUGUUCACAGUUUGUGUGUAAUAUGUGUGUAUUAUUAUUAUUUUUUUUGUCUAAAAGACUUUGUUUUUCUUUAAACCAUU
Non-coding RNA from Peromyscus maniculatus bairdii (prairie deer mouse), 4318 nucleotides. The record is from RefSeq and is a predicted model, not a curated record. NCBI's taxonomy places the organism in Eukaryota, Metazoa, Chordata, Mammalia, Rodentia, Cricetidae.